Dermacentor andersoni is the source of this 1390-nucleotide long non-coding RNA. RefSeq lists it as uncharacterized. The record is from RefSeq and is a predicted model, not a curated record. Lineage: Eukaryota; Metazoa; Arthropoda; Arachnida; Ixodida; Ixodidae.
CGCAAGGGGAACUGACGGACGCCGCGCGGGAGGGAAUUCGACUCCACGAACAAGCUGGUUUGUUGGGCUCCCCACGUGUUCGUGCGUUCUUUCUGCACUUCGGCACGGGACUACUGCACUAUUGGACGACGCCAAGCUGGCGUCGUCCGGUGGAGCUUCGUACGGGAAUUACUGCUGCUUAUCUGGUGCCACAACGUUGAAUGAAUGCACAAAAAGCCCGGUAGGAGCAUUUGUAUAGAGUAAAAUAAACAUUUCCUCAUUUCAUAAGGCGUCUUGCACCUUUGUAAAAUUGCACGUGGCACAUAUUCUAUGGAGGCUUGGAAACAUCGUUGGCAAUCCUUUUUACUUAAUAAUUAGGCAAUUCUCAACCAGAACAGCGCGCGGGUGAGCAGUAGAAUAAAAAAAAAUAUGCCGUGCCGAUCAGCGCAGCCGUCGUAAUGCGUUCCAGCUAGCGUUCAAAACGCGCGAACCCAAAACCGAAAUCUGAAGUGUAGCUCAGGUAUUAAUGUCGGCGGCUUGGUGCCCUGCAGCCAAUUCGGCCACUGGGCUCGAUGGGAGUGUACAGUCUUGUGGAAAACUUUCCCUAAGAUACUGCCGUUUCGGGGCUUCUACGCAGGCUGCUUUUCGCUAUAAGAAAAAAAAAUGCUUGCCUCAUACGCGGCGUUUAGCAGAGUGAUAGCUGUGGAGGUAUGUGAACGCAGAUGCUUGCGUAAGGUGGAUAGUAUUCCCAUUUCUGCUUGCACGCCACAUUUCAGCAGUGUUGAGCAACGACGGACGCUGCGGACCAAGGAAGCUACAGGCGUCGGUAGCAGGCAACAAAAGGCGGACUAUUUCAUUUUGGUGUAUUCUCCUCCCUCAUUGUCCGAGGCUCCCAGAGCUGCAAGAUAGAUAGUGAUGUAAAGGAAAGAAAUAAAGCAUGAUUCUGCAACCCCUGAGGGAGCACAGCCGAGCGUCGUGGUGGCAAAGAGCUUCUCGUGUACAUUAUUUUAGUGCAGUGUGCCUUUCUACGCCAGCUUCCGUGGUACACUCUCAAACUUCAUCGUAUGUCUUGAUUACGACUACGCCUUUUCCUCAGGCAAAAAUCCGGCCAGAUCAUUGACACAUUCGCACUAGUUUUGAACCUUGUACAAAAUAUUAAACAUCACCACUAGCCACUUAGAACAUCAUGUGCAAGCAAUACACCAGCCACACAUUGGAAUGAAGUAGAAAAGAGAGGAAGUGCGAGAGUGAGGGCGAUGGAGCAAAGAACAAGUGUCGCUACGUUGCAUAUUUUUUUUUGUCUAUGGACCUUAGGAUGCGCGGAGGCAAGCACCAUCUCGUGGUACUCCAAGAAACCAAACACCGACCGCGCACCGCUCUGUCAUUGGUAGAAUCGCCUCGAGGGCCUUGC